GGGCCCGCACAAGCGGUGGAGUAUGUGGUUUAAUUCGAUGAUACGCGAGGAACCUUACCAGGGCUUAAAUGUAAGUUGCAUUAGUUAGAGAUAGCUAUUUCUUCGGACUACUUACAAGGUGCUGCAUGGUUGUCGUCAGCUCGUGCCGUGAGGUGUCAGGUUAAGUCCUAUAACGAGCGCAACCCCUGUUGUUAGUUGCCAUCGAGUCAUGUCGGGAACUCUAACGAAACUGCCAGUGCAAACUGUGAGGAAGGUGGGGAUGACGUCAAAUCAUCACGGCCCUUACGUCCUGGGCUACACACGUGCUACAAUGGCCGGUACAGAGAGCAGCCACUACGCGAGUAGGCGCGAAUCUUCAAAGCCGGUCUCAGUUCGGAUCGGAGUCUGCAACUCGACUCCGUGAAGCUGGAAUC
Molecule: ribosomal RNA, 413 nt
Filed under: uncultured bacterium
Lineage: Bacteria
Description: bacterial SSU rRNA
Rfam family: Bacterial small subunit ribosomal RNA
Source: RNAcentral